AUAAUUUUCUCAGUCCCCCCCUGGAUAAGCACUCAUUUCCGCACUGUCGCGUUAUUGAAAUUAGAUCGCUUGUCGCGAAAAAUUUCAUUUUGUCUGUAAGUUUCCCGCUCGACGUGUUUUCUAUUUGUCUUUUUUGUCAAAUAAAUAUGUCUCAAACGCACAAUCUCCAAAGAGCAAUUAUCGAGGCCGUAGUAAGAGCAGUAUACGAGGCACUGCGAGAUCAACAUGAAGAGUCCUCUGAUGCAGCUACUGCCCACGAAAAUAAUACUGAACCACAGGUAACAUUCUAGUGUAUAUGGGUGCAUCCAAGUGAAAAACAUCGUUAAAUUUUGAUAAAUUUAUAACUUUGCCAGAAUUCCAACUCAAAUGAUGAAAAUGAGGGUAACAAUUCAGGAAGAGUUGGUCGACCAAAGAAAAUAAUUCCAAGGGAUGUAUUGGAAAAUUUGCUUCAGUUACGACUUACGAUUGUGGAAAUUGCCAGACAGUUUAAAGUCGACAGGUCAGUGGUCUACAAAGCAAUGUCGGAGUAUGGGUUGUAUCGAGAAAACUUUUCACAAUUGUCACAAGACGAAAUAGAGAAAGAAGUGGACGCCAUUAAACAAAAUCAUCCUAAGGCUGGCGAGGUCAUGGUUCAAGGGUACCUUGAAUCUAGGGGUCUUUACAUUCAGCGACAAAAAGUGAGAAAAGCCAUUCAUAUGGUUGAUCCAUUAGGUGUCGAAGAGAGAAAAAGUAAACCAAUAAAGCGUCGCAUUUAUACUAAUCCUUUUCCCAACUAUAUUUGGCAUAUUGAUGGGAACCAUAAACUUGUUAGAUGGAGACUUGUCAUACACCAUGGUAUCGAUGGUUUUAGUCGAUUAGUGGUAUUUGCACAUUGUUCUUCAAACAAUCGAGCAACUACUGUUCUAUAUCACUU
Xenia sp. Carnegie-2017 is the source of this 913-nucleotide long non-coding RNA. RefSeq lists it as uncharacterized. The transcript has 3 exons. The record is from RefSeq and is a predicted model, not a curated record. NCBI's taxonomy places the organism in Eukaryota, Metazoa, Cnidaria, Anthozoa, Malacalcyonacea, Xeniidae.